GACGGAGGGUGCAAGCGUUGUUCGGAAUUACUGGGCGUAAAGGGCGCGUAGGCGGUUUGCUAAGUUCGGUGUGAAAGCCCCUGGCUCAACUGGGGAACGGCGCUGGAAACUGGCAGACUAGAGUACCGGAGAGGAGGGUGGAAUUCCUGGUGUAGCGGUGAAAUGCGUAGAUAUCAGGAGGAACACCGGUGGCGGAGGCGGCCCUCUGGACGGAUACUGACGCUGAGGCGCGAAAGCGUGGGGAUCAAACAGG
Molecule: ribosomal RNA, 253 nt
Filed under: uncultured bacterium
Lineage: Bacteria
Description: partial 16S ribosomal RNA
Rfam family: Bacterial small subunit ribosomal RNA
Source: RNAcentral